AAUAGAUACCCUGGUAGUCCACGCCGUAAACGAUGAGUGCUAAGUGUUAGGGGGGUUUCCGCCCCUUAGUGCUGCAGCUAACGCAUUAAGCACUCCGCCUGGGGAGUACGGUCGCAAGACUGAAACUCAAAGGAAUUGACGGGGGCCCGCACAAGCGGUGGAGCAUGUGGUUUAAUUCGAAGCAACGCGAAGAACCUUACCAGGUCUUGACAUCCCAUUGACCGCUAUGGAGACAUAGCUUUCCCUUCGGGGACAGUGGUGACAGGUGGUGCAUGGUUGUCGUCAGCUCGUGUCGUGAGAUGUUGGGUUAAGUCCCGCAACGAGCGCAACCCUUGUUCUUAGUUGCCAUCAUUUAGUUGGGCACUCUAAGGAGACUGCCGGUGACAAACCGGAGGAAGGUGGGGAUGACGUCAAAUCAUCAUGCCCCUUAUGACCUGGGCUACACACGUGCUACAAUGGACGGUACAAACGGUUGCCAACCCGCGAGGGGAGCUAAUCCGAUAAAACCGUUCUCAGUUCGGAUUGUAGGCUGCAACUCGCCUACA
RNAcentral lists this ribosomal RNA (545 nucleotides) under uncultured bacterium. Its description in RNAcentral is "bacterial SSU rRNA". It matches the Rfam family "Bacterial small subunit ribosomal RNA", at positions 777 to 1320 of the family's 1533-position model. The record is from RNAcentral.